This is a non-coding RNA of Physcomitrium patens, 662 nucleotides long. The record is from RefSeq and is a predicted model, not a curated record. NCBI's taxonomy places the organism in Eukaryota, Viridiplantae, Streptophyta, Bryopsida, Funariales, Funariaceae.
UCCGGUGGCGAAACCGUGGGAGAGAAAAAACAAACUCACAUUGAUACAACCACACGGAGCCCAACAUGGAGACACUACCACAGUCUGGAAGAUGCUAUCAUUCUCCACUCGCACUCACACUUCGAUUCCUAGCAUCGACGAUAUGCACAGCACAUAGCUUUCUCCAACCCUACCCACUCAAACAACCGGCUCUCCUAAGCAACAGUGCGCUGAGCGAGAAGAAGUACCCACCAGCAACCCCCUAGAUCUCACGUUACUGGCGUGCAGCAGAACAACGAUACGGCGUGUGCGCGUGCGCAGAUUCUAGCAAUCCGAAGCGUGGAAGCUCCAAGGGUUUCGCUGAAAGGGCGAGGAACAGUGUGAGGCAGAGCAAAUACUUCUGAUGCAGAAUUACGAAUGGUUUGGAGGCUCAAUUCUGGCUUUGAUCCAGCAACCUCUCCACACGGUUUUGCUGGAGUUUCCAGCAAAUCCAUAGCUCUUCUGUCAAAGAAGAAAUACUCAUUUCUGGCGUCUUUAGAGCAUCUGCAUAACGGUGAAGAUAGGCUUUGAUGUUGACCCCGACCACAUCUUGUAGAGCAGUGUAACAUGUGUGAAGUUCAUCCAUUGUUUCAUUCUUCAUGAGAUAUGUAAUUUCUGCCAAUGCUCCAAUUUCUUUCUUGAAA